GGUUCCAUGGUGUAAUGGUCUGCACCAUGGACUUUGAAUCUGGUGAUCCGAGUUCAAGUCUUACUGGAACCU
This is a non-coding RNA of Megalops atlanticus (tarpon), 72 nucleotides long. The record is from the annotation of a GenBank genome assembly. NCBI's taxonomy places the organism in Eukaryota, Metazoa, Chordata, Actinopteri, Elopiformes, Megalopidae.